RNAcentral lists this ribosomal RNA (465 nucleotides) under uncultured bacterium. RNAcentral describes it as "partial 16S ribosomal RNA". It matches the Rfam family "Bacterial small subunit ribosomal RNA", at positions 339 to 795 of the family's 1533-position model. The record is from RNAcentral.
CUACGGGGGGCUGCAGUGGGGAAUAUUGGACAAUGGGGGAAACCCUGAUCCAGCAAUGCCGCGUGUGUGAAGAAGGCCUGCGGGUUGUAAAGCACUUUCGGUUGGGAGGACUGCUUCUAGCACUAAUAUUGUUGGAAGUUGACGUUACCUUCAGAAGAAGCACCGGCUAACUCCGUGCCAGCAGCCGCGGUAAUACGGAGGGUGCAAGCGUUAAUCGGAAUUACUGGGCGUAAAGCGCGCGUAGGCGGCUAGAUCAGUCGGGUGUGAAAGCCCCGGGCUUAACCUGGGAACUGCACCCGAUACUGUCUAGCUUGAGUACAGGAGAGGAGAGUGGAAUUCCACAUGUAGCGGUGAAAUGCGUAGAUAUGUGGGGGAACACCAAUGGCGAAGGCAGCUCUCUGGCCUGAUACUGACGCUGAGGUGCGAAAGCGUAGGGAGCAAACAGGAUUAGAUACCCCUGUAGUC